CGAAAUGCGAUAAGUAAUGUGAAUUGCAGAAUUCAGUGAAUCAUCGAAUCUUUGAACGCACCUUGCGCUCCUUGGUAUUCCGUGGGGCAUGCCUGUUUGAGUAUCAUGAAAUCUUCAAAGUAAAUCUUUUGUUAACUCAAUUGGUUUCUACUUUGGUAUUGGAGGUCUUUGCAGCUUCACACCUGCUCCUCUUUGUUCAUUAGCUGGAUCUCAGUGUUAUGCUUGGUUCCACUCGGCGUGAUAAGUUAUCUAUCGCUGAGGACACUGUAAAAGGUGGCCAAGGUAAAUGCAGAUGAACCGCUUCUAAUAGUCCAUUGACUUGGACAAUACUUUUAUGAUCUGAUCUCAAAUCAGGUAGGACUACCCGCUGAACUUAAGC
RNAcentral lists this unclassified non-coding RNA (379 nucleotides) under plant metagenome. RNAcentral describes it as "partial contains 5.8S ribosomal RNA, internal transcribed spacer 2, and large subunit ribosomal RNA". The stretch from base 1 to 106 matches the Rfam family "5.8S ribosomal RNA", at positions 49 to 154 of the family's 154-position model. The record is from RNAcentral.